AGUGAACGCUGGCGGUAGGCCUAACACAUGCAAGUCGAAUGGCAGCACAGUAAGAGCUUGCUCUUACGGGUGGCGAGUGGCGGACGGGUGAGGAAUACAUCGGAAUCUACUUUUUCGUGGGGGAUAACGUAGGGAAACUUACGCUAAUACCGCAUACGACCUACGGGUGAAAGCAGGGGAUCUUCGGACCUUGCGCGAUUGAAUGAGCCGAUGUCGGAUUAGCUAGUUGGCGGGGUAAAGGCCCACCAAGGCGACGAUCCGUAGCUGGUCUGAGAGGAUGAUCAGCCACACUGGAACUGAGACACGGUCCAGACUCCUACGGGAGGCAGCAGUGGGGAAUAUUGGACAAUGGGCGCAAGCCUGAUCCAGCCAUACCGCGUGGGUGAAGAAGGCUUUCGGGUUGUAAAGCCCUUUUGUUGGGAAAGAAAAGCAGCAGGUUAAUACCCCGCUGUUCUGACGGUACCCAAAGAAUAAGCACCGGCUAACUUCGUG
Molecule: ribosomal RNA, 492 nt
Filed under: uncultured bacterium
Lineage: Bacteria
Description: partial 16S ribosomal RNA
Rfam family: Bacterial small subunit ribosomal RNA
Source: RNAcentral